This is a non-coding RNA of Neurospora crassa OR74A, 1178 nucleotides long. NCBI's taxonomy places the organism in Eukaryota, Fungi, Ascomycota, Sordariomycetes, Sordariales, Sordariaceae. The record is from RefSeq and is a predicted model, not a curated record.
CAAGCUAGCCCCAUGGUAUCGGAUCACUGUGAUGUGAUUGUCAAACCAUCCCAGCCGUGGGACUAAGAGAAAGAAGGCGAUAACUCCGGGACUUGCGCGUCCGAGCGAUCCAGCGAUCUUCUCUCCGUCGCCGCUUCAAGAUCGAAGAUCGAUGGAUGGCCUCUCGGAUCUCCCCCGCAUUUCCAGUAUUAACUUGCGAGAGUUUUCGUUUCAUGGAGGGCCCCGCAGCAUCAUCACCAACGACUACUUACUUACAUCAUAUAGGGGCCGUGCGUGAUCUGGUGAUACGAAACUUGAGGAGCCAAUCGGCUCUAAUUUCGCGUCAGUCUUUCUUUCCUCUACCUAUCUUAGAUCCCCGUCUCAAGUAAGAAGGCAUUGCAGAGUUGUAUGCAGACGCACUGACCUUAUAUUACACAUGGGCAUGUUAAUAUGGCGAUGAUGAUCCAUUACAGAUCCAACACCGAGUAAAGCAUUAGCCGCGCUGUUUGAGACCUUUUAGCGUUGUGUUUCUGAACAGGAAGAUCUCUCUCACCGCCUCCUUCAGGCAAAUAAUUGACAUACAUGGAGUGAUAUGACGAUGGAUGAAUGUUCAAUUACUGGACUCGAACAACAAGUUGGGACAUGAAGUGGCCGCUUGACGGUCUUCGGUGAUAUUGCCUCGUCUAGCGAAGUUCGCGCUUACAAUGAUACGAGUAAUAGUGUAAUGGUUUUGUUCAGCAAACCUUAUCAAACGCUGACAGUACUUUUCCGGUCUGUCUUCGCAGCAAGAGCAAGAAAUGAUCUGAAACAAAGCGGCCUCGACAGCUGAACUGAAAAACCAACCCAGAAAUUUUACAGCAAAGAGUUCGAGAACGGAGCGGUGUCUGUACUAUUCUAGUCUCCAAAGACACUUGUGCCUUGUACCCUUGGACUCGCAUUUCCCCCUUCAAGACACACAUCACCAGUUUCCUCAGGUCCGUCUUUCAACAUUAUCAUCUAGUUGUAGAUGACGGGUCAAAAAUCACACUCCAGAUAUCGUGAACUAUCCGGUCUCUUUCAGACAAUGUGCGGGUAUAAUGAAUGCUCAGUGAACGAGGUAUAGAUGUCAACAGUUACUUAGGCUCGUAGCCGUGAACUAUCAGACAUCCCGAUGAGCCAUGUGUAUAUUGAAUGAAUAAGCAGUACAAAUCGUGUACAAG